UAGGGAAUAUUGGACAAUGGGGGCAACCCUGAUCCAGCCAUGCCGCGUGAGUGAAGAAGGCCCUCGGGUUGUAAAGCUCUUUUGUCCGGAAAGAAAAGCUUCGGGUUAAUACCCCGGGGUUCUGACGGUACCGGAAGAAUAAGCACCGGCUAACUUCGUGCCAGCAGCCGCGGUAAUACGAAGGGUGCAAGCGUUACUCGGAAUUACUGGGCGUAAAGCGUGCGUAGGUGGUUGUUUAAGUCUGAUGUGAAAGCCCUGGGCUCAACCUGGGAAUGGCAUUGGAAACUGGGCAGCUGGAGUGCGGUAGAGGGUAGUGGAAGUCCCGGUGUAGCAGUGUAAUGCGUAGAGAUCGGGAGGAACAUCCGUGGCGAAGGCGACUGCCUGGACCAGCACUGACACUGAGGC
Molecule: ribosomal RNA, 405 nt
Filed under: uncultured bacterium
Lineage: Bacteria
Description: bacterial SSU rRNA
Rfam family: Bacterial small subunit ribosomal RNA
Source: RNAcentral